CAGAGGGGGCAAGCGUUGUUCGGAAUUACUGGGCGUAAAGGGCGCGUAGGCGGCCUGUUAAGUCGAACGUGAAAUCCCCGGGCUCAACCCGGGAACUGCGUCCGAUACUGGCAGGCUUGAAUUCGGGAGAGGGGAUGCGGAAUUCCAGGUGUAGCGGUAGAAAUGCGUAGAUAUCUGGAGGAACACCGGUGGCGAAGGCGGCAUCCUGGACCGAGAUUGACGCUGAGGCGCGAAAGCCGAGGGGAGCGAAACGGGAUUAGAUACCCCGGUAGUCCUGGCCCUAAACGAUGAAUGCUUGGUGUGGCGGGUAUCGAUCCCUGCCGUGCCGAAGCUAACGCAUUAAGCAUUCCGCCUGGGGAGUACGGUCGCAAGGCUG
Molecule: ribosomal RNA, 376 nt
Filed under: uncultured organism
Description: bacterial SSU rRNA
Rfam family: Bacterial small subunit ribosomal RNA
Source: RNAcentral